UACGUAGGGGGCGAGCGUUGUCCGGAUUUACUGGGCGUAAAGGGAGCGUAGGCGGACUUUUAAGUGAGAUGUGAAAUACUCGGGCUCAACUUGAGUGCUGCAUUUCAAACUGGGAGUCUAGAGUGCAGGAGAGGAGAAUGGAAUUCCUAGUGUAGCGGUGAAAUGCGUAGAGAUUAGGAAGAACACCAGUGGCGAAGGCGAUUCUCUGGACUGUAACUGACGCUGAGGCUCGAAAGCGUGGGGAGCAAACAGG
RNAcentral lists this ribosomal RNA (253 nucleotides) under uncultured bacterium. RNAcentral describes it as "partial 16S ribosomal RNA". It matches the Rfam family "Bacterial small subunit ribosomal RNA", at positions 524 to 776 of the family's 1533-position model. The record is from RNAcentral.